RNAcentral lists this small nuclear RNA (115 nucleotides) under Suricata suricatta (meerkat). The record is from RNAcentral. Lineage: Eukaryota; Metazoa; Chordata; Mammalia; Carnivora; Herpestidae.
GUGCUUGCUUCACCAGCAUAUAUUCUAAAAUUGGAACUAUACAGAGGUUAGCAUGACCCCUGUACAAGAAUGACAACAGGAAUUCGUGAAGCCUUCUGUUAAAAAACAAACUCUU